RNAcentral lists this ribosomal RNA (691 nucleotides) under uncultured prokaryote. RNAcentral describes it as "bacterial SSU rRNA". It matches the Rfam family "Bacterial small subunit ribosomal RNA", at positions 28 to 737 of the family's 1533-position model. The record is from RNAcentral.
GAUGAACGCUGACAGAAUGCUUAACACAUGCAAGUCGAUUCAAGUUACCUUCGGGUAAUGAGGAUGGCGGACGGGUGAGUAACGCGUAAGGAACUUGCCUCUUGGUCUGGGACAACUGUUGGAAACGACAGCUAAUACCGGAUAUUAUGAGAUUCUCGCAUGGGAAACUUAUGAAAGCUAUAUGCGCCAAGAGAGAGCCUUGCGUUCCAUUAGCUAGUUGGUGGGGUAACGGCCCACCAAGGCGACGAUGGAUAGCCGGCCUGAGAGGGUGAACGGCCACAAGGGGACUGAGACACGGCCCUUACUCCUACGGGAGGCAGCAGUGGGGAAUAUUGGACAAUGGNNNNNNAGUCUGAUCCAGCAAUUCUGUGUGCACGAUGAAGGUCUUCGGAUUGUAAAGUGCUUUCAGUUGGGAAGAAGCAAGUGACGGUACCAACAGAAGAAGCGACGGCUAAAUACGUGCCAGCAGCCGCGGUAAUACGUAUGUCGCAAGCGUUAUCCGGAUUUAUUGGGCGUAAAGCGCGUCUAGGCGGAAAAAUAAGUCUGAUGUUAAAAUGCGGGGCUCAACUCCGUAUUGCGUUGGAAACUGUUUUUCUAGAGUACUGGAGANGUGGGCGGAACUACAAGUGUAGAGGUGAAAUUCGUAGAUAUUUGUAGGAAUGCCNAUGGAGAAGUCAGCUCACUGGACAGA